GACGAACGCUGGCGGCGUGCUUAACACGUGCAAGUCGAACGGUAAGGCCCCUCGGGGUACACGAGUGGCGAACGGGUGAGUAACACGUGGGUGAUCUGCCCUGCACUUCGGGAUAAGCCUGGGAAACUGGGUCUAAUACCGGAUAGGACCCUGGGAUGCAUGUCCUGGGGUGGAAAGCUUUUGCGGUGUGGGAUGGGCCCGCGGCCUAUCAGCUUGUUGGUGGGGUGAUGGCCUACCAAGGCGACGACGGGUAGCCGGCCUGAGAGGGUGACCGGCCACACUGGGACUGAGAUACGGCACAGACUCCAACGGGAGGCAGCAGUGGGGAAUAUUGCACAAUGGGCGCAAGCCUGAUGCAGCGACGCCGCGUGAGGGAUGACGGCCUUCGGGUUGUAAACCUCUUUCAGCACCGACGAAGCGCAAGUGACGGUAGGUGCAGAAGAAGGACCGGCCAACUACGUGCCAGCCGCCGCCGUAA
This 478-nucleotide ribosomal RNA is filed under the name uncultured bacterium. RNAcentral's name for it is "partial 16S ribosomal RNA". It matches the Rfam family "Bacterial small subunit ribosomal RNA", at positions 28 to 523 of the family's 1533-position model. The record is from RNAcentral.